CGGGGGGAGCAAGCGUUGUUCGGAUUUACUGGGCGUAAAGGGCGCGUAGGCGGCCACCGCAAGUCGACUGUGAAAUCUCCGGGCUUAACCCGGAAAGGUCAGCCGAUACUGCGGGGCUAGAGUGCAGAAGGGGCAACUGGAAUUCUCGGUGUAGCGGUGAAAUGCGUAGAUAUCGAGAGGAACACCUGCGGCGAAGGCGGGUUGCUGGGCUGACACUGACGCUGAGGCGCGAAAGCUAGGGGAGCGAACGGGAUUAGAUACCCCGGUAGUCCUAGCCUUAGACGAUGAAUGCUUGGUGUCUGGGGUUUUAUAGUCCCCGGGUGCCGUCGCUAACGCUUUAAGCAUUCCGCCUGGGGAGUACGGUCGCAAGACUG
This 374-nucleotide ribosomal RNA is filed under the name uncultured organism. Its description in RNAcentral is "bacterial SSU rRNA". It matches the Rfam family "Bacterial small subunit ribosomal RNA", at positions 526 to 896 of the family's 1533-position model. The record is from RNAcentral.